RNA transcript from Vigna angularis (adzuki bean), 1697 nucleotides. It is a transcript of the gene named phosphatidylinositol/phosphatidylcholine transfer protein SFH12, with no coding region annotated. The record is from RefSeq and is a predicted model, not a curated record. NCBI's taxonomy places the organism in Eukaryota, Viridiplantae, Streptophyta, Magnoliopsida, Fabales, Fabaceae. The transcript has 8 exons.
GAAACACCUAUCAUAAUAAUAGGUGCAACCCCUCUUCCUGAAACUUCAUUCUCAUCCUGAAACAUCUCUUUUCAUUUUCGCGCACCUCUCUCGUCUCCGUCCUCUCACAUUUUUAUUCUCGAUACAUCUUCAUUCUCUCUGUUUCUUGUUGAUUUUGCAUUAGUACAUCACAGAACCACAUCUUCGUUGUUGUCUUGCGAGUUUUCUCCAACUCUAAACAUCAUCCUCUGCUAGGGUUUCAUACUUCUCCAUGAUUUCCUUCCUAUUUUCACCUUUGUCUUCGAUUUCACCGAUUAAAAUGCCUUUUCUCCGUUCGUUCCUCAUUUCUAACGUUUAAUCUCGCCUUUGAACCGAUUAAUCGGUUCACCUAGGGUUUCCUCCAGUAGAUUCCCUUUCUAUUGCUGCAGUUUGUGGCAGGAGUGUUACGAAACCUCCAUCGAGGGAAUUAGUUUCUCCGAAGGCAAGAGCGUGUUGCCUGCUUCCUCUGAUGAGAGCUUCCCGGUCACGAGCCAGUCAAAGAGGAUGGACAAAACCCGUGACUUAAUCCUUGGAGAUUCUCGGAGAAGCCUGAAACCGACAAUAUUGGUGUCAAAGCAUAAAAUGAGUAAGUUUGCAGCUUGUUUGAUUGCUGUAAAGAAGCACAUCGAUCAAAGUACAACUAUCCUCGAUGUGCAGGGAGUGGGGCUUAAAAGCUUCAACAAACAUGCUAGGGAACUCGUUACUCGUCUUCAGAAGAUUGAUGUUGAUAACUAUCCUAAAACCUUGAACCGCAUGUUCAUCAUCAAUGCAGGUUCUGGAUUCAGAAUGUGGAACACCGUAAAAUCAUUCCUUGAUCCUAAGACCACGGCAAAAAUCAAUGUUCUUGGCAACAAGUUUGACACCAAAUUGCUAGAAAUAAUUGAUGCAAGAUGUAUGUUUGCGUCGGUGUGCUUCUGCUGCAUCCAAUGAUAACAAGUCCUACGACCUGUUCUCUAUGGCCAGUCAUGAUUCUGAAUUGGAUCAGCUCAGAGACUAUAAAGGCAACAAGCUUUGCAAGUGCCAACCAUCUGUAGUAAUAAAAAUUGUCUGAAACUGGUGUGGUGUUAAUAUUAGAGUGCUUGAGUCCUUGAUUUGGGAUGUAGACUUGUGAUUGGUAUCUGUAAGAAGCAUCAUCAGGCUACCAGAAGCAUCAUAGGAACCCUAGAAAUGAAAAAAAGAAGAAACGAACUCAUUGUCACCGAGAAUGAUGACCUUCAUGAGAGUUCUUAUUCGGGAAGGCAUGACAAUGAACGUUGUGUGAUCUUAAAGAGAAAGGAAAAUCUCCAAGAACCAAGAUUGACCGUGGUGAUCAAAGACUUGAGGUUUCUUGAGAAGUAAGGCUUGUUGAUUUGAACAUCUGAACAAUCUGUACAAUUGGGUGUAUUCUGUGCGAUCUUGCAAUCUUUGAAGAUUGGCUUGGAUUCCCUACGGUGUUUGCAGGAAGAAGAAUGAUGUUCUUGACUUUGAGGGUGUCUCAAAGGGAUAGACAUUAGAAGAGGGUGUUCUUACUACCAGUCUUGUUUGUUUGUUGUUUAUAUUUAGAUUAGAGGGUUAGAGAGGUGUUUUACACUUUUGACGUGAGGUCUCUGUAAAAACCUUGUGCAUUUGCUUCUCGUAGUUGGAAGGAUGCUGGAUGUAAGCAGGUUGGUCAAACUAGUAUAAAAAUCAGCGUUUGAAUU